This 366-nucleotide ribosomal RNA is filed under the name uncultured organism. Its description in RNAcentral is "bacterial SSU rRNA". It matches the Rfam family "Bacterial small subunit ribosomal RNA", at positions 526 to 896 of the family's 1533-position model. The record is from RNAcentral.
CGAAGGGGGCGAGCAUUGUUCGGAAUUACUGGGCGUAAAGGGUGCGUAGGCGGAUUGGAUAGUCAGAUGUGAAGGCCCAAGGCUCAACCUUGGAACUGCAUUUGAAACUGCCAGUCUGGAGUAUUGGAGAGGAGCGUGGAAUUCUCAGUGUAGAGGUGAAAUUCGUAGAUAUUGAGAGGAACACCAGUGGCGUAGGCGACGCUCUGGCCAAAUACUGACGCUGAGGCACGAAAGUGUGGGGAGCAAACAGGAUUAGAUACCCUGGUAGUCCACACCGUAAACGAUGUGUGCUAGUUGUUGGGUUUAAACUCAGUGACGCAGCUAACGCUUGAAGCACACCGCCUGGGGAGUACGGUCGCAAGAUUA